AGUGAAGGAAUUGAUGCCAUUAAGAACAAACUUGGUGAAGCUUGAUAGGUAGAGAAACUGACUCUGACAUAAUCCAACAAAAUUGGAGUUAAUUAGAUCAAAUCUGGAGGCCGAUGUAAAGACAUCCUUGAGAAGAUACGGUAAAGUAUCAUGUCAAUCGAACAGAUACUUUGAUUUUUUAGUUCAAGAUGGAGAUUUAAUCUUUC
RNAcentral lists this long non-coding RNA (206 nucleotides) under Elaeis guineensis (African oil palm). Its description in RNAcentral is "long non-coding RNA (EGUI_LNC059426)". Lineage: Eukaryota; Viridiplantae; Streptophyta; Magnoliopsida; Arecales; Arecaceae. The record is from RNAcentral.